ACUAAACUGUGGGGAGGUAAAAAACUUGCAUUUGACUUUUGAAUGCCUUUUCUCAGGGAAAAGGCUUUCAUCUAAAAAUGCGGAUUUUCUUGCUACUUUUUCUGGAACAAGCAGGCUCUGUGUGUGGUAUUCUCCUCUAUCAAAAGCCAAACAGGAACAUAUGUCAACAUGGGACCUCCAUGAAAAUCGAAUGUCAGGUUGAUAGCCAAGUCUCCAUGAUGUACUGGUACCGUCAGUUCCCAGGACAGAGCAUGAUGCUGAUUGCAACUGCAAAUCAAGGUGCUGAGGCUACAUAUGAGAGUGGAUUUACCAAGGACAAGUUUUCCAUCACUCGUCCAAAUCUAACAUUUUCAACUCUGACUGUGAAAAACAUGAGUCCUGAUGACAGCAGCUUCUAUCUCUGCAGUGCUGAAGACACAGUGCUGGAUGCAGAUCAGAGAUCUGAGCAAGAAACUCAGCUCCCUCCUACUCAGAUCCCCUCAGAUGAGCCUGAGGACCCUGCCAAAGUGGGAUGGGAGGAAACCACAGCUGCUGAACAGAAAGCUUCUUAUGUGUUUGUGGGUGGGCAUUAG
This is a non-coding RNA of Castor canadensis (American beaver), 572 nucleotides long. NCBI's taxonomy places the organism in Eukaryota, Metazoa, Chordata, Mammalia, Rodentia, Castoridae. The record is from the annotation of a RefSeq genome assembly.